GAGAUUUAUUAAUUAAAGCUUCUAACUUUACGAUUAAUGAGUAAAAUUCAUUUAUUUCUCA
RNAcentral lists this transfer RNA (61 nucleotides) under Bradysia sp. XQM-2020. RNAcentral's name for it is "tRNA-Ser". Lineage: Eukaryota; Metazoa; Arthropoda; Insecta; Diptera; Sciaridae. The record is from RNAcentral.